This 222-nucleotide long non-coding RNA is filed under the name Mytilus galloprovincialis (Mediterranean mussel). Lineage: Eukaryota; Metazoa; Mollusca; Bivalvia; Mytilida; Mytilidae. The record is from RNAcentral.
GGGACGACAUCAAAAGAUCGAUGUAGGAUAAAAAACUUAAAUCAAAUAGUUUGGGGUGGGGGUCAACAUGGCUGCAAGUUUUGUUAAUCCAAAAUCGAUUUUACAUAUGUCCAUAUAGGUAAAUCAUUUUUUCUUAAAUUAAGUUAAGAGGGGGGGGGGUCAUUGAAAAAUACUAUGUGAAUUAAGUUUUUUAUCCUACAUUGAACUUUUGAUGUCGUCCCU